This 227-nucleotide unclassified non-coding RNA is filed under the name Hevea brasiliensis (rubber tree). Lineage: Eukaryota; Viridiplantae; Streptophyta; Magnoliopsida; Malpighiales; Euphorbiaceae. The record is from RNAcentral.
AAUACAACAACCUUCCAGGCUUCAGCGACGCGACGGCGGAUGUCCGCGCCGCGAUUUUUGACGAGGCCGCCAAGUUCGCCGAGCAGGUGCUUCAUCCGCUGAACCAUAGCGGCGACCUCGAAGGCUGCACGCGCCACGACGAUGGCCGUGUCACGACGCCCAAGGGAUUCAAGGAAGCGUUCAAGCAAUUCGCCGAUGGCGGCUGGAUCGGUCUGGCGGCUCCGCAG